CUUUAUUGGAGAGUUUGAUCCUGGCUCAGGACGAACGCUGGCGGCGUGCCUAAUACAUGCAAGUCGAGCG
This 70-nucleotide ribosomal RNA is filed under the name Paenibacillus macerans. Its description in RNAcentral is "partial 16S ribosomal RNA". It matches the Rfam family "Bacterial small subunit ribosomal RNA", at positions 1 to 68 of the family's 1533-position model. The record is from RNAcentral. Lineage: Bacteria; Bacillati; Bacillota; Bacilli; Caryophanales; Paenibacillaceae. RNAcentral also lists the same sequence under 2 other names.